AGAGUUUGAUCAUGGCUCAGAACGAACGCUGGCGGCGCGUUUUAAGCAUGCAAGUCGAGCGGCAAGGGUCUUCGGGCCCCUAGAGCGGCGGACGGGUGAGUAACACGUGGACAAUCUGCCCCCCGGCCGGGGAUAGCCCAGGGAAACCUGGAUUAAUACCGGAUGAGACGGGACCCGCGGAGGCGGGAUCCGGGAAAGGCGCUGCGGCGCCGCCGGGGGAUGAGUCUGCGUCCCAUUAGCUUGACGGCGGGGUAACGGCCCACCGUGGCGACGAUGGGUAGCCGGCCUGAGAGGGUGUACGGCCACAUUGGAACUGAGACACGGUCCAGACUCCUACGGGAGGCAGCAGCUAAGAAUCUUCCGCAAUGGGCGAAAGCCUGACGGAGCGACGCCGCGUGAACGAAGAAGGCCGUGAGGUUGUAAAGUUCUUUUCGGGAGGGGGAACAACCGUGGCAGGGAAUGGCCGCGGGAUGACGUGAAUCCCGGAAUAAGCCCCGGCUAACUACGUGCCAGCAGCCGCGGUAACACGUAGGGGGCGAGCGUUGUUCGGAAUCAUUGGGCGUAAAGGGCGUGCAGGCGGUCCUGCAAGUCCGGCGUGAAAGACCCCGGCCCAACCGGGGGGGCGCGCUGGAAACUGCAGGGCUUGAGUACAGGAGGGGAUGCCGGAAUUCCAGGUGUAGGGGUGAAAUCUGUAGAUAUCUGGAGGAACACCAAUGGCGAAGGCAGGCAUCUGGCCAUGUACUGACGCUGAGACGCGAAGGUGCGGGGAGCAAACAGGAUUAGAUACCCUGGUAGUC
This 797-nucleotide ribosomal RNA is filed under the name uncultured Sphaerochaeta sp. RNAcentral's name for it is "bacterial SSU rRNA". It matches the Rfam family "Bacterial small subunit ribosomal RNA", at positions 8 to 795 of the family's 1533-position model. Lineage: Bacteria; Pseudomonadati; Spirochaetota; Spirochaetia; Spirochaetales; Sphaerochaetaceae. The record is from RNAcentral.